AUGAAACCAAAUAAAGCACCAGGACCAGAUAAUAUCCCCAUUGAAUUUUUCCAACAUUGCUGGGAAAUAGUAAAAAACGAGAUGAUGCUCCUGUUUAAGUGGUUUCAUGACGAUAAGCUAGAUGUGCAGCGCUUGAAUUAUGGGAUCAUCACUCUACUACCUAAAGUUGCUGGUGCUAAUAAAAUUCAGCGGUUUCGCCCCAUAUGCUUGCUGAGAUGCAUUUAUAAACUAAUCACUAAGGUGCUUACUAUUAGACUAGAACCUUAUGUUGAUAUCCUCUUUAGUAGACACCAAAAUGCUUUUAUUAAGAAAAGAGAUAUAAUGGAUGGAAUCAUGUCUUUACAUGAAAUUCUCCAUCAUACUUAUAGUAAGAAAAAAUCUGGGAUCGUGUUGAAACUAGACUUCGAGAAAGCUUACGACAAAGUUAACUGGGAUUUCCUGUUAAACUGUCAUAAGAUGAGGGAGUUUCAUCCACAGUGGAUUGAAUGGGUAAGGAAAAUCCUGGUAGGAGGCACAGUUAGUGUGAAGUUGAAUGACGAGGUGGGGCCCUAUUUUUAA
This 558-nucleotide ribosomal RNA is filed under the name Triticum aestivum (bread wheat). RNAcentral describes it as "partial small subunit ribosomal RNA". The record is from RNAcentral. Lineage: Eukaryota; Viridiplantae; Streptophyta; Magnoliopsida; Poales; Poaceae.